UUCGAGUGGCGACGGGUGAGUAACGCGUGGGUAACCUGCCUUACACAGGGGGAUAACACCUGGAAACAGGUGCUAAUACCGCAUAAGCGCACAGGGCCGCAUGGCCCGGUGUGAAAAACUCCGGUGGUGUAAGAUGGACCCGCGUCUGAUUAGCUUGUGGCGGGGUAGGGGCCCACCAAGGCGACGAUCAGUAGCCGGCCUGAGAGGGUGGACGGCCACAUUGGGACUGAGACACGGCCCAAACUCCUACGGGAGGCAGCAG
Molecule: ribosomal RNA, 262 nt
Filed under: uncultured bacterium
Lineage: Bacteria
Description: partial 16S ribosomal RNA
Rfam family: Bacterial small subunit ribosomal RNA
Source: RNAcentral